AGCAGCCGCGGUAAUUCCAGCUCCAAUAGCGUAUAUUAAAGUUGUUGCAGUUAAAAAGCUCGUAGUUGAAUUUCGGAAUCUGUCCAUCGGUCGGGCUUUAUUGUCCGUACUGGUGUGGUGGGUUCUUACCUUCUGAAUAACCAGCAUGCCAUUUAUUUGGUGCGUUGGGGAAGCAGGACUAUUACCUUGAAAAAAUUAGAGUGCUCAAAGCAGGCUAGUGCCUGAAUACAUUAGCAUGGAAUAAUAAAAUAGGACGGCAUGGUUCUAUUUUGUUGGUUUCUAGGAUCACCGUAAUGAUUAAUAGGGAUAGUUGGGGGCAUUAGUAUUCAAUUGUCAGAGGUGAAAUUCUUGGAUUUAUUGAAGACUAACUUCUGCGAAAGCAUUUGCCAAGGAUGUUUUCAUUAAUCAAGAACGAAAGUUAGGGGAUCGAAGACGAUCAGAUACCGUCGU
This 450-nucleotide ribosomal RNA is filed under the name uncultured Glomeromycotina. RNAcentral describes it as "SSU rRNA". It matches the Rfam family "Eukaryotic small subunit ribosomal RNA", at positions 569 to 1021 of the family's 1831-position model. Lineage: Eukaryota; Fungi; Glomeromycota. The record is from RNAcentral.